UCUCGGCUUAUCACCGGCAGUCCCCUUAGAGUGCCCAACUUAAUGAUGGCAACUAAGGGCAGGGGUUGCGCUCGUUGCGGCACUUAAGCCAACACCUCACGGCACGAGCUGACGACAGCCAUGCAGCACCUGUGCAGGGCCCCGAAGGACACGGGCUUCCACCCGCUUUACCCUGCAUGUCAAGCCCAGGUAAGGUUCUUCGCGUUGCAUCGAAUUAAGCCACAUGCUCCGCCGCUUGUGCGGGUCCCCGUCAAUUCCUUUGAGUUUUAGCCUUGCGGCCGUACUCCCCAGGCGGAGCGCUUAAUGCGUUAGCUGCGGCACAGAGAGGGUUGAAGACCUCCCCACACCUAGCACUCAACGUUUACGGCUGGGACUAC
This 377-nucleotide unclassified non-coding RNA is filed under the name uncultured Actinomycetes bacterium. Its description in RNAcentral is "uncultured actinobacterium contains 16S-23S intergenic spacer region". Lineage: Bacteria; Bacillati; Actinomycetota; Actinomycetes. The record is from RNAcentral.